GCCCCCGUAGCCCAAUGGCAGAGGCAGGCGACUUAAAAAUCGCUUCAGUCUGGGUUCGAGUCCCAGCGGGGGCACCG
RNAcentral lists this transfer RNA (77 nucleotides) under Enterococcus faecalis OG1X. Its description in RNAcentral is "tRNA-Leu". It matches the Rfam family "tRNA". From Rfam's summary of the family: Transfer RNA (tRNA) molecules are approximately 80 nucleotides in length. Their secondary structure includes four short double-helical elements and three loops (D, anti-codon, and T loops). The record is from RNAcentral. Lineage: Bacteria; Bacillati; Bacillota; Bacilli; Lactobacillales; Enterococcaceae.